Molecule: ribosomal RNA, 433 nt
Filed under: uncultured bacterium
Lineage: Bacteria
Description: partial 16S ribosomal RNA
Rfam family: Bacterial small subunit ribosomal RNA
Source: RNAcentral
AACGAACGCUGGCGGCAUGCCUAACACAUGCGAGUCGAACGAGGCCUUCGGGUCUAGUGGCGCACGGGUGCGUAACGCGUGGGAACCUGCCCUUAGGUUCGGAAUAACUCCCCGAAAGGGGUGCUAAUACCGGAUAAUGUCUUCGGACCAAAGAUUUAUCGCCUUUGGAUGGGCCCGCGUUGGAUUAGCUAGUUGGUAGGGUAAAAGCCUACCAAGGCGACGAUCCAUAGCUGGUCUGAGAGGAUGAUCAGCCACACUGGGACUGAGACACGGCCCAGACUCCUACGGGAGGCAGCAGUGGGGAAUAUUGGACAAUGGGCGAAAGCCUGAUCCAGCAAUGCCGCGUGAGUGAUGAAGGCCUUAGGGUUGUAAAGCUCUUUUACCCGGGAUGAUAAUGAUAGUACCGGGAGAAUAAGCUCCGGCUAACUCCGUG